Long non-coding RNA from Dermochelys coriacea (leatherback sea turtle), 2192 nucleotides. RefSeq lists it as uncharacterized. The transcript has 5 exons. The record is from RefSeq and is a predicted model, not a curated record. Lineage: Eukaryota; Metazoa; Chordata; Testudines; Dermochelyidae.
GGGGGAAAAAGUAGUGAUGAAGCUCAGCUGGGGAAGAAUAGGAGGGGCCCGAUAGAGCCCAGUAGCUGACAGUUGAAGCGGCUGCAACUCUCAGGAUGAGAGAAGGCAAGAUAGGAAAGUAGCCCAUGGAUACAGUAACAAGGUUUAGGACUGGGCAGACAUUGACUGAUCGUUGUAGAGUCCCUGGGCUGGAAGCUAGGACAGAAAGUGGGCCUGGGUUCCCCUACCUGUCACUGGGGAAGUGAUGCUGUUAAGGAGCAGAGGGUCCCAAGAGACUAUGACACACAAACUCCAACCCGGAAGGGGACAAUUAUAGUGACCUGCCGGAGCGCCAAGCCAUAAAGCAGGAGCAGUCAAGUCCCAAGCAAGCAAGAUAGGGAGAGAGGCAGAGUGAGCAACGACAGGAAGUGACUGGCAGUCCUAAUCCCCAGAAGGAGGCGCUCCAGCGCAAACAGACAGGACUCCUGGUCUACAGAGAGCCCCAAUCCUGAGGGAAGGGUUGGAGGGACUGAGCCUACUGAGGCCCCAUAAGACCACGUGCUUGUCCUCAGCUGAAUCUGUGAUGAACUUGAAACCACGAGGAAACUCCUUGGCAUUGCAUGGAUGGGGAACAUGCAUCUACCUGACAACAAAGGAUAUGGCAAUUUGGAUUACUGGUCAGAUCACAAGAAUCCAAAGGCAUGCACUUCCAGUAUUGAAGGCUUCCUUGUACAGACUUCAUCAAGGACAAAAUAUUGGCCCCUUCUGUUGACCCAGGCACCCACAAACUCCUUGUGCAGAUGCCACUAUAGUCUGGAACAAUUGGGGGAGUGGCUGGGGUUGUCCAUCCCCCAUCAACAGGGAAAUUGUGAGCUAUCCACCUGCAUGAGUAGAGAAAACUGUGGGAAGGGAAAAGAAGACAUUGCCCAUGGUCCUUGAACACAAAGUAUGGGCAAGGUUCUUCCCACCCCCUGAAGGGUGCAUGAGGGAGGAUCAGUUAGGCUUCCAUUGUACUGCACUCCCAGGGAGUAGCAUCAGGAGUUUUGUGGAACGUGGAAUAAACUGAGUCACAACAGGUAGGUUAGGAGAAGGGGCCAGGGAGGAGCAGCUCUGUGACAUUACAACAAAGAUCUCUUUAAUCUUCUUUUACAGUUCAUAUGAGGAGUCUACAUUAGAAUUUGUGAUAGCAACACAAGGAUAUGCUAGUUAUUACAAUCUAUGAUUUUUAAAACAUCUAUUCUCAAUAGGCAAAGUACAAGAAUUCUCUGCCCUCUAAACUUCCAGGAACCAUAGACAAUGGAGAAGGGCAGUCUGUGAAUAAUUCUUCAUUUUCCCAAGAGUGGUUUAGAGCAGUGGAGCAGUGGUUUUCAACCUUUUUUCAUUUGCAAACCCUUAAAAAAUUUCAAACGGAGGUGCAGACCCUAGGUUCAUUGACAGCAAUUCCGUGCCCCGGGGCCAGGACCAUCCCUGGGGAGGCAGGCAGAAGUGAUGAAUCUGUCACUCCCGGGACCGCCCAUCACUUCCGGGACAGACUGAGUUGGGCAAUUGCAACGGCCCACAGGGGUCUGGAGUGGCUGUGCCUGCCUAGGAGCCCUGUGGCCCACCCGGGCAAUUUAAAAGGGUCCGGGGCUCCCGGCCACCACUGCCGCCAUUGCCCCCUUUGGCCCUCCUCCCUCCCCUUCGGCAGGCCUGGCAGACCCCUUUGGAAAUCUUACACAUACUCUGCAGUCCCCCAAGGGUCUACAGACCAUAGGCUGAAAAACACUGUUCUAUGGUAACAACCUUUUGUGGACCCCUUAGAUAUAAUCUGUGGACCCCUGGUUGUCCACGGACUACAGGUUGAAAACCACUGGGUUAGAGAGAUGAAAUCUUGAGAGUCUGAAGGCAGCAACUUCUAAGGCCACAGAUGUAACAGUUUCAGGACCAUCGUACUGUAUUUCAGAAAUUUUCUGCUUUCAGUUGGUUUGUUUGCUGCACAGAGAUUAAGUGGAUUAAUAUAUAUGUCUGUGUAUAGCAUUCUGACAAUGUCAGAAUAGAGCCCUGAGUUUUAAAUUAAUGAUUUUAAACAAACAAGGUAGUGAGAAACAACUGGAAACAAAUAAGAAAAUUUUGAAAAUAGUGAAGGGUACAUAUUGGAGGGAGCUGAGCUUCAUGUAUGGAUUUAAAUGAAUGAAUGAAUAAAUAAAGCAAAUGUUUUGUCAAUAUUGAUUUGC